ACGUGCUCGGCACGUUUGCUUUGAUUGAAGAAGAAGAGGAAGGGUUCCGUCUGCAUUCAUCGGCGAGAGAAGAGACGGAGAAGAAAUAAGGAAGAGAAGAAGGAAGAGGAUGAGGUCCGUGAUGGAGUUCGCAGAGAACCUGAUCCUGCGGAUGAUGGAGGAAUCGAGAAGGAGGGACGAGGCGCAGUGGGAGCAUAUCUACGCGAUGCGGAAGCGGUGCGGGAAGGUCAAGGCCAACUGAAGCCUCCCCGUCCGCCCUACGGCUUCUGGACCUUCGACCGCUUCAACUCCCAGAUCAGCCAGGUCCCCGGUUGCCGCGAUCCCGACGACGACCUCCUCCUCGACCAGCCCUCAGACUUCCCUCCGUCUUCCUCUCCCCCCAAAUGAUCCGAUCCCAUCCAUCCAUCUGUUCAAUCCCCGCUGAUCAGGUCUUUUCUUACCCUUGGUGACAAUUGUUGGGUAGAAGCCGAUAAGAAGGUUCACUCAAAUUGGGGAAAGCUUGAACUACUUGCUUGGUCUACGAUGACAGAUGUGUGUGCAUAAUAAUAUGACCCAGUUGUGGUGAACCAUGUUUUGUGCUUCCGAAGGUUUUCUACUUUUGGAUUCAAUUUCCAAUUAAGUACAUUUGUUUGGCUGCAGUCAAAAAAACAAGAACUUCUCUGCUUCCACUGAAGAUUCCUUUGUCUACUUCACUGGUUGUUACGAGUUGGACUUACCUUGGAUGCUGCUGGUAGAUACCACACACAGUGCAUUAGGAGUAUGGAAGGAGGAAACAACCAAGAUGAAGAAGAAGAAGAAAAUGGGGAUAAUCAACUAUUAAAUUAGUUUUCAUGCUUUUAUAGUUGAGCCAAUGACUUCAAUCUGCAUCAAUUUGGGGUGUGCUUAGUGGUGCAUAGUACUCACAUAGAUCACUUGCUAUAGUGGCAGAAAUCAUGGUUACUUGUAAAGCAGGCAUUGAUGUUUUCUUGAGAUGAUACAUCCAUGUCCAUGAGUUGUAAGAUUAUAUUGUCUAAACCUUGUGCAUGAUAAAAAAAAGAUUGUACCAUUA
This is a non-coding RNA of Musa acuminata subsp. malaccensis (wild Malaysian banana), 1048 nucleotides long. The record is from RefSeq and is a predicted model, not a curated record. Lineage: Eukaryota; Viridiplantae; Streptophyta; Magnoliopsida; Zingiberales; Musaceae.